This 1020-nucleotide ribosomal RNA is filed under the name Escherichia coli. RNAcentral describes it as "partial 23S ribosomal RNA". It matches the Rfam family "Bacterial large subunit ribosomal RNA", at positions 129 to 1191 of the family's 2925-position model. Lineage: Bacteria; Pseudomonadati; Pseudomonadota; Gammaproteobacteria; Enterobacterales; Enterobacteriaceae. The record is from RNAcentral.
CAGUGUGUUUCGACACACUAUCAUUAACUGAAUCCAUAGGUUAAUGAGGCGAACCGGGGGAACUGAAACAUCUAAGUACCCCGAGGAAAAGAAAUCAACCGAGAUUCCCCCAGUAGCGGCGAGCGAACGGGGAGCAGCCCAGAGCCUGAAUCAGUAUGUGUGUUAGUGGAAGCGUCUGGAAAGGCGCGCGAUACAGGGUGACAGCCCCGUACACAAAAAUGCACAUGCUGUGAGCUCGAUGAGUAGGGCGGGACACGUGGUAUCCUGUCUGAAUAUGGGGGGACCAUCCUCCAAGGCUAAAUACUCCUGACUGACCGAUAGUGAACCAGUACCGUGAGGGAAAGGCGAAAAGAACCCCGGCGAGGGGAGUGAAAAAGAACCUGAAACCGUGUACGUACAAGCAGUGGGAGCACGCUUAGGCGUGUGACUGCGUACCUUUUGUAUAAUGGGUCAGCGACUUAUAUUCUGUAGCAAGGUUAACCGAAUAGGGGAGCCGAAGGGAAACCGAGUCUUAACUGGGCGUUAAGUUGCAGGGUAUAGACCCGAAACCCGGUGAUCUAGCCAUGGGCAGGUUGAAGGUUGGGUAACACUAACUGGAGGACCGAACCGACUAAUGUUGAAAAAUUAGCGGAUGACUUGUGGCUGGGGGUGAAAGGCCAAUCAAACCGGGAGAUAGCUGGUUCUCCCCGAAAGCUAUUUAGGUAGCGCCUCGUGAAUUCAUCUCCGGGGGUAGAGCACUGUUUCGGCAAGGGGGUCAUCCCGACUUACCAACCCGAUGCAAACUGCGAAUACCGGAGAAUGUUAUCACGGGAGACACACGGCGGGUGCUAACGUCCGUCGUGAAGAGGGAAACAACCCAGACCGCCAGCUAAGGUCCCAAAGUCAUGGUUAAGUGGGAAACGAUGUGGGAAGGCCCAGACAGCCAGGAUGUUGGCUUAGAAGCAGCCAUCAUUUAAAGAAAGCGUAAUAGCUCACUGGUCGAGUCGGCCUGCGCGGAAGAUGUAACGGGGCUAAACCAUG